This 9907-nucleotide long non-coding RNA is filed under the name Homo sapiens (human). RNAcentral's name for it is "HSALNT0273749". The record is from RNAcentral. Lineage: Eukaryota; Metazoa; Chordata; Mammalia; Primates; Hominidae.
CAUCUGUUUCAGACAUUUAUUUCCAUUUAAAUGACACUUUGAAAGAUCGAGGAGCCAAUCUGUACCGCAAAGACAACUUAUCAUCAAAGACUCUAGAAGUACAAUCGUAUCAAUUCACAAGACUUGAUUUCUUCAACUUAAAUGAUAGCUUUUAGUUAAAAUAUACCUGAGAGAAGAACUCCAAAGGAUGCCUGCCUCAUAAUCUGCCCUGGACUUGUCAUUCCCGACAGGACACCUCAAUGGACACUGCCCCACCCCAUUAAGACUCUGAAGCGUAGGGUCCCAUUGCUUUGCUUCCGAAAUCCAAGGGGAACAAGAAGUACCCAUCUCUUACAAAAAUAAGCAUGUCAACAUUGUUCAGUACAUUUUUCUACACAUAUAAAAUCAAAAUAAAUUGUAAAAAUAUUUUUCCAGGUACAAAAUAAAUAUAGAAAACAUCAAUGUAAAAACAAAAGGAUUGUCCGAUUCAGACCAUUACCUUGCCAAUUUUUCGGGAAGAGUGAAUUAUCACAUCAAUCGACAACCUAAAACUCACCUAGUUAAGUGCAUUAUUUUCAUAAUUUAAUUUUCAUUAAAAAUAAAUAUGAUUAUUAACCAAUAAUAAGGACAUAUACCCAUUUCCAAAAUACAAUGACAUAAGAGUCUAGCAGAUCCCCCUAAUAUACAAGGAAAUGACAGUUUCAAAUAGCAUUCAGUGACAUGUAAAUUUAAUUUCGUGUCUUUUAGGAAAAGCAAAAUUUGACUGCGAAGUCUCCUCUGGUUGCAUUAAGUAAUUUCCAGUCAUGGUAGAUUUUAGUGAUGUCUUAUUUGACCAGGUAAAACAAGUCAUCUAUUUCCCAUCUGAUACUCUCUGGAGCCGAAUUGAACCAAGUAUCACUAUGUCUUUGGCUUACCUCUUCGGGGACCCAGGGACUGGACCCCUGAGCCAACAGACCUCACGCUGGCUUCGCUGGCAGGAGGGUCUGCGCCUGGCUGUGUCCACGCCACACUGGCCAACUUAACUCUGCGCUUCUUUGACCAGUGAAUGGAGGUAGAAUAGAUGAUGUAAAGCAGUAUGACACAAAAUGUUGCAUUUGGCUAUGGAGUUCGUUUUUCUGCUCAUAUUUAAAAGUGAUUGUGUCUGAUAAGUAGGAAGAUCAUUUUUUAAAUUAAUUAAAAACUAAUUUUUUGUUUGUCAGUCUUCCGAUUGGCAGGUGCCAGGAUGCACUCCAACUUCCUCCUGUUGGCGUGGCUCUUGCCCUGUGCAGAGGGUGGACAGGUUCCCUUCAGCUUCAAGGCCAAUCUGAGAGCAAGAGGUCCGUUCCUAGCACUCAGAUUUCAACAGCAGGAAAACAGACAGAAAUUCAUGCCUCUACAUUCCCAGGGGCCACACACUGCAAAUCCUUCUCUCUACAUUCCCAACAGAGAAUGUAAGCACCUUUCAUAUCCCAGAGACAUAGUUAAGAGUUUACUUCAAAUACACCUCAGCCCAUGAUAAAGUUCCUAGUGUUCACAUACAGAUUUUGGGGUCACGUAGAACGAAACAGAAAUAAAAACAAGUCCCAACAAUAAUGAAUAAAAGAGGCUUCAGGAACUGAUGUUUGAAGGAACCUUACAGCUCACUCCCAGGCCACCAUUCUUUCUUGUGAUGGGAGUUGCCUUGUGGGUGCCUGAAUACCACCUUUGAGAGAUCCCCUGAGAACCCAAUAGAUAAUUAUCAAGUAUCUACUCUCCAGCAGGCACCAUGCCAGAGACCCAAACAGAGAGAGGAAUCAGGCUGGAAGAACUUUAAAAUCUGCCAGGAGCGACACAGCCAUGGAAAUUGCUAUAAUGUCCAUUCUGAUAUAACAAACGCUGAAAAUUAAUUAAUUAAAAAAAUGUUAUGAGAAAGCAAAUAAUUCCUGCUACAGUUUGAAUGUGUCCCCCAAAGUGCAUGUGUAAGGAAACUUAAUCCCCAGUGCAACAGCGUUGAGAGGUGGGACCUUUUAAGAGGUGACUGGGUCAGGAGGGUUCUGCUGUCAUGAAUGAAUUAAUGUUAUUAUAAGAGGAGGGUCAGUUAUUGCCAAGAGUGAUUUUAUCAAAGCAAGUUUUGCUCUUUUGCCCACAAUGACACAGCAUGAAGGCCCUCACCAGAGGCCAGUGCCAAGCUCUUGGACUUCCUAGCCUCUAGAACCAUGAGCCAGAUUAAUUUCUAUUGUCUAUAAAUCGCCCAGUCUGUGGUAUUCUGUUACAGCAACACAAAACAAACUAAGACACUUCCAAAUGGAGGACAUGGAGAAAAUGUAAACAUUGCCUCAUCUGUUUUUAAAAUGAGGGUGCAUGGCAGCUGUUAGAUUAAAUAAUUAACAAGCCUGAUUUAAUAUAUCACAGAGCCAUAGACUCUUGGCACGGAGGGCCCAUGAGAGUCACCAAAGCCUGUUUUUUUUUUUCUUUUGGAACUGUUUAUCAAGGAUUCUAAAUAGUAUUGCCUCCUCAGUUCUUGCCUGUAAAAAAAACACGUAGAUACUCAAUAGGCUGGUUGAUCUGUUUCACUUUAUUUCACUCUUUCUAAAUGUUCUGCCUGAAAGUUGGUGUCACAUCCUUCAGAGAUGUCUGGAACUGUGGACCACGCCUGCAGCUGGCUUCCACCUUACUGAACAUGGGUGUGUGGCACAUAGCUGUCAUAUAACAAAUGUGUGACUGAUUGUGCAAAGGUGAAAACGAGUGAGGCCCUCAACUCCACCCUGCCACCCCAACAGCUGAGGAGGGCAGUGGGGGUGCCUGCUGUUUUACAUCCCAGGUAAUUAAACCGCCCCUUGCUCUUCCACUGCCCUUCAUGGACACGGGUGGGGCAGUUAACAUUGUUCAGAACCAGCUUCCACUGAGCAUGGUAUCUCUAAUUAGAGCCUCAGAUCUGUCUGUCUGUCUCUCUCUCUCUCAUAGAUACACACACACACACACACACACACAGUCUGAGUGUGGCGCCCCCGGGCUUGUUUUGCAAGGGCAUUAGAUAGGGAGACAGGGAAAGUGGGCUGGACUGAAGAGUUUAUUUUCUGAAGCCAGACAUUUGUUUGGGCUGCCAUUGGACACUUGAGUAACCUCAAGAGAGGGCUGGCCAGGGCAGGACAGGUCAGGGGAUCCAGCUAAACGGGAGGUCCUUGGGAAUGACACAGAUAACUAAGUGCCGAAUCCCAGGAGGUCAAACAGGCCCAGGAAGGGGCAGACUGAAACUCAUAUCAACACUUGGAAAAAAAAAAGUGACAGAAGACAGGAAAAGGGGUCAGGUGGCACACUCCUUGGGCAGGGCUGGUCCCAAGCUUCCUAUGAAAGCAGAUACAUCGGAGGACUCACCACUGUGCCAAGUGGAGAAAAGCAAGGCUGCUCGCGGGAGGCAGCAUUUGGAGGCCGAGGGCCUGUGUCUCCACCACGUCUGAGCCCCCGGGGAAGUCACUGAGUCACCUGCCCCUCAGUUUCCUCCUCUUAAAUCCAGGGGCAUAAUUAUAAGAAUGGUGCCCUCCAGAGGCUGCUGUGGGGUUUCAGUGAAACAGCAGGUAUGGAUGGACAUGGCUUACGAUGCCCACAGAGAAGGCACUGGAACGCUUCUUUAUUCAGCUGUCAAGGGAUCAGGUGCCCCUGAUAAUCUUCUCAGCAUUGUGUAUUUACCCAGUGAAAGCUCUGUAUGCAAAACCCACGGCCUCGAACCUCAGCUUGACCCUCAUUCAGGAUGCCCGGUCAAAGCACUGAGCACUCAACAGAUGAAUAAAUAAACGAAUGAAUGUCUGACAUGGGAUUUCUGAUGCCAGCUUUUAAUCCUGGAUGUGCCACUCGCUGAAGGACCUGGCAAAGUCACUCCAUUUUUCUGAGCUUUGGCUUUCCUAACUGUAAAAGGUUUUAUCUUAAAAAAAAAAAUACUGUAGAUAAUUUCUAAGGCAUCUUCCAGCUCCAACUUCUUUUACCUCAUUCAGAUUUUCACAUAUUCUGAAUUAAGAGGGUCAAGAACACAGUGCUCUGAUUGUGAAGAAUGUCACGAACAGAAGAACUUCUCCAAGAGUUCCAGGAAAGAUUCAAAUGAAGAAAAAGAACAAGAGCUGAAACAAAGCCCUACAGACUCAAUCUGAAGAGUUUUUGAUUUGCACAGAGAUCACCAGACACUGACAGGUACACUGAUAGAUAGUGCUGUAUACACCACCAUAGAAUCCACCAAAAUUCACAGCCCAAACACUGACUAUAAUCAUAAGCACCUGCAUUUACUGAGCACCUACCAUGGGAUGUUGAGCAGUUUAUACUCAUCCUCUCAUUUAACCCACAUGAUCAUCCCAUGAGGCGGGAACUACUAUGGUCCCAUUCUUCAGAUAACAAAACGGAGACAAUGAGAAGAUAAGUAACUUGCCACUCAAGGGACUUGGCGAGGAAGGUAAAAUUCAAACCCAGGCAGCCUGACUCCAGAGCGCAGACCCUGCCCCAGCGAACAGAGCCCGGGGGUGAAGGGUAUGCCCAAGGUCACACUGGAGGGCUGAGGCCGAGUUCUAAAUGUACCACAGCUGGGUGCCAUGCAAGCUUGUCCCUCCCGCAUGCAUAUCUCACUCGCAUUGAUUCAGAGCAGGAGGGGGAAAAAAUGCCUAACACUGAGCACGUGUGAGGAUGAUGUCAUGGGAGGAGGAGGCUACAACUUCCAUUGAGACAACCAUUUCACACCUGGGCACUCCACACCACGCCAUCUUAACAAGACCUCCUUCUUCAUAUCGUUACUCUGCAAAUCACACACAGACCUUGCCCCCCAAAUCAGGGAUAUUUGGAAUAUAUAUCCUGAGUUUGCAGAGGCUAGCUUAGAGCCUGGGUCUGCAAUGGUGGUCUUGGAGUCUCAGGUCACAGAGGCUGGCCUGGUACCAAGAUCUACUAGGAUAAGCCUAGAUCCUGGGUCUACUUGAGCAAGUUGUAACCUGGGUCCUCUGCAGCCUGGGGCCAUGGAGACCUCUCUGGUACUUGGGGUCAGCCCGGUGCUGGGGAUAACAUGGAGCCUUGGUCUCUGGAUCUAUUUACCCCAAAUCAGGAAAUAACCAAGCAAACCCAUUGCUGCUAAGCAACCACUGCAGGCCAUUAGAUACAACAUCGCGAUAGCAGCCCAUGCAUUCAGCCUGCACCCAGUGCUAGGCACAGCCGUGCCAAGAACUCAAUGUGAAUUAUCUUAAUUUCCACACCUCUGACAACCUUCUGAGGUGAACACUAUUAUCAUCCCAUUUUAUAGAGAUGCAGAGACUGAGGUGCAGAGAGAAUGACCACCUGGGGCCACAGCUAGCAAAUUGCAGAGCCAGGGCUGGAACCCGGAGGCGGAGGCUUGAGCGGAGAUGUAAAUGGAAUGGGGCCUCCGUAAGUGGGUCGCCCAGCCCUGGAAGCAAGGUCUCCUCUUCCCCAGUUAGUAUCCUCCCAUGGGCCCUUUUCCCCAGCUUCCCCACCAGGUAGACAGUAACCUGGUGUCCCAGUUACCUCCUUACCGGGUGGGUCUCUAUUUUCCAUGGCUCCUGCCACCAUGGAAGCUGGAGGCUCUGCAAGGCUGUACGUCAGUACAGUUUCUACAGGUGCACAGGGCUAGCUGUGCCCUAAAGAGCGGACGGAAUCCACAUUCUGCACUUCUAGCUGCACAACCUUGGGGUGUGCACACACACACACAAUGCUUCCUUGUUCUUACCAUUCCCAGAGGCCAUGCUCAUAUUUGUUAGCUGAAAUUUAAAGCUUAGGAAGGAAUUUUAAUAAAUUACUUAUGAAACCAAAGUAAACAUCGGGAUAAUUUUUUGCACAAAAAUAACCACACUCAAGGGGAUCAAAAACUCGCAUGAAAAUUAAUUAUUUGGCUUUCCAAGUCCAUUUCAGCCCUCUGUGCCAGCCUGUUGGGAUAACCGGUGCAGCACCCGGUGCCCGGCGGGAGUUGGAAAUCACCAGUCUGACCUCUCACGGACGGCGUGGCCAAAGUUAACUUAGCAAAUUGAGGGCACUGCGAAGCUCGUUAAAUAGGCAAUGACACAUGAAACAAUGAAAAUUGCUGCUCUUGACCACGCUCACCCUCCUGCAGCCUCCAGGGAGGUGGCCUCGGGGCUCACUGACCCUGUGCCAGGAAGCUCUACCCUCAGGACAGGGUGCCAGAGGGCAAGUCACUGGCUUCCCUGGGCCUCUGAGUUUCCUAAUCAGAUUUGCUGUUUUAAAAAAUUACUCCAAAUGUCAAGUGGAGGACAGAUUGGAAAGUGGCAGGGACAGGCCCGUGGGACCAGUUAGGAGGAGGUGGCUCGAGUCGGGAUGAAUCCAGACAGGUGUGGGCGGCAAGCCAGAGGUUAGCACAGCGGGCGUGGGAUAUGGGGCUCAAGGAAAGAAGGCCUGGCAAGUUAUUGUUGACUUGGAUUUUUCUUUCCUCUCUUUUCACACAGUGUAUUAUGUGGUUACAAUGGUGUGUUUGAAGAGGAGCAGGAAUUAAAUACAUUUAGGGUUUUGUUUUGUUUUUUAAGGCAUGGUGGAUGCCAGCAGGCUGAAGGGUCAGGAGGUCUGGUCUUCCCACUGCCACUAAGUGCUGAGCUGAAGCACAAAUUCUUGAAACAUGGCUGGGUGUGGUGGCUCACACCUAUAAUCCCAGCACUCUGGGAGGCUGAGGCACGUAGAUUACCUGAGGUCAGGAGCUCAAGACCAGCCUGGCCAACAUGGUGAAACCCCGUCUCUACUAACAAUACAAAAAUUAGCUGGUUGGUGGUGCAUGCCUAUAAUCCUAGCUACUCGGGAGGCUGAGGCACAAGAACCCAGGAGGUGGAGGUUGCAGUGAUCCAAGACUGCACCACUGCACUUCAGCCUAGGUGACAGAGUGAGACUCUGUCUCAAAAACAAACAAACAAAAACAAGAGUUUGCAUGACAGUGUAGAUGAGACAGGACUGGCCAGGUGUCGGGCUGGAGGACAGGCGCACAGACUGCACCGUGUGAUUCUGUCCACCCUGCAUUGUGUGAGGUUUUCCGUUUUGGAAGAAAAGGGGUGAAGAGCAUGGCUGUGGAGCAUUUCUAGGUUUUCAGGUCACAGAGUCGCACCCAUUUCCUACUUACUGACUCAAGUGAAACCACAGUGUUGGCUUACUUUGAAAAAUAUUUCUUUUUUUUCAGUCCUGGUUCACCCAUUCCCUUCUAAAACCCACCUACCAUACCAAUACAUUCAGUUCCACUCAACAAAUGUUUAUUGAGCAUCUACUAUGUGCUGGGACCAUGCUAAGAAUCCAAGGUGCGUCAGUGAAGGAAACAGAGAAAGACCCACGGCCCACACAAAGGUUACAUUCAAGUUGCGUGAAACAUAAACCAUAAAAUAUAGAUAUGUUAUAAUAAACAGAUAUUACAUGCUUUGUUAGAAAUUGGUAAGUGCAAGGAAAACAAUAUAAGGUACGGGGCAUGGGAGUGAGGUGAGUUGCAUUUUCCUACAGGGAGGUCAGGGUAGGCCUCACUGAGAAGGUGACAUUGACCAAAUGUCAACAAGGCAAAGAAGCGAAGCAUGAGAGCAUCUGAAGAAAGGGCACUCCCAGCAGAGAGGACAGCCAGUGCCAAGGCUGACGGGGAUGGGCACAUAGGGCAAAGGGGCUGCUGUGGCUGGAACAGACUGCUGUUCAGGGAACAGCAAGAGGCCAGAGGGAGUGAGCAAAGGGACACGAUUAGGGAAUCACAGGUAGACAAUGGUAUGAAGGAUGUGGUUUUUAUCCUUAAUAUCCUUGGUGAUGGGAAACCUCAGGAGGGUUUUGAGCAGAGAAAUGAGAUUUUCAAAGGAUCACUCUGGAUGCUGCUGGGAAGAGACCAAAGGAUGCAAUAAUGGAAGCUGAGGGAGGGUCUGGAGGUAGCUGCACGAAUGCAGGUGAGAGGCAAUGCAGGCUUGAACAAGGGUGGUCGCAGUGGAGGGGCAGGAGGUGGUUGGCUCCUGGAGAGAAUUUGAAGGUAGUUCCCACAGUCUUUCCUGAUGCACCAGAUGGGAGAGGAGUCGGAAUGGCUCCAGGGCUUCCCACUUGAGCUGCAGGAAGAUGGAGUGGCCAUUACCUGAGACGGGAAUGGCUGCAGAUGGGCUGGAUGUGGGGCAGUUAACCAGAAGACGGCAUUUGGGAAAGAAGGGAAGGAUUAGGACGAGGCAACAGACAAGUAAAACUCUCGUGCGGGGUUCCACCAGAAACGCAACAGGAUGGGGCAGCGGGACGGGGAAGGGGGUCAGGGAAGGGGUCGGGGAAGGUGGUGGCCAUUUCUGGUCAGGUGGAAAAUGGCAGCGUGUCUGUGUGCUAAUGGGGUGAUCCAGCAGAGGGGACAGCAGGUGGUAGGACGAGAGUGAGGCCACAUCAGGAGCUGUGGAAGAAGAGCUGGAGUCAGUCCAAUACCAGGGGUUCUGGCACCACGGGGGCCAAGUGGCUUCUGCCACAGUCACAGUAGAAGGCAGAGUACGGAGGUUUGGGGGCUGGGUGUAGGCGUGUAUGGUUGGGGGAGUCUGAGGAGGCACCCCAGAGAGGCAGUGGGAGCAGCCAAUGCAAUGUGCUCCCACAGCUCCGUCAGCAGGUGGCUGGGGAGGCCACAGGGCAGCUUAGGGUCACCCCGUUUCCACCACUUUUCACCUAUGUAACCUUGAAUGAGUUGUUCACCCUCUCUCUCUCUGCCUCAGUUUCCUAAUCUGUAAACCUGAGCAACUGCAGGUCUCUGCCCCCGGAAAACUCAUUGAGAGCAUGUAGAUGAGGCAAUACCUACACAGCCCCUAGCUCAGCACCUGCCCAUCGGAAUCCUUCCUCUCUGGGUGCCUGCGGUGAAGCCCCGGCCCGGCCAACCUGGACCUCUCCAUUCCCACUCUGGAGCUAGCGCUGGGUGUUCCUGGGGAAGCACUGCUUGGCCUCCUCACUCAUGCUUUCACAUUGUUUCUCACUCUCACAUCCAGACAAGACAGCACCAGGAAACCCACGCUGAGCUGGAACCCUCCUUCUGCAACAAACAAGCUGGGAAGGUCCUGGGCAAGUUGUUACGUCUCUCUGAGCCUCGUUUGCAUCCCACAUAAAAGAGGAGGCAGGAUUGAAUGAGCUCUAAGGUUCCUUCAAGUUCUAGAUUCAUGAAAUAAUGUUUUUUCCUCAAGAAAAAGAAUUAUUCAUUGUAUAAAGAAAUACACACCUGUAAUCCCAACUACCCACUGGCUGAGGCAGGAGGCUCGUUUGAGGCUCGUUGAGUUCAAGGCUGCAGCGAGAUCAGGCCACUACGCUCCAGCUUGGGUGACAGGGUGAGACCCUGUCAGAAAAAAAGAAAAGAAAAGAAGAGGGAAGGGGAUGGGAGGGGAGGGGAGGGGAGGGGAAACAAUGGGUCUCAAAGAAAAUCCUUUAAGAACACACAGAAGCAGUAGGGAGAGCCCACGCCUGUCCUCAUUUGUCCCUGGAGCUGUGGGCUGUGAGCUGAUGCUGUGAAGGCCAGACCCAAAGCCAGUCACACAGAGGCAGCAGCUGGACCGGCCUCGCCGACUGAGACCAGUGGCCACACAGACACACACCUGACAAGGUAGACCACGAAACACAGACGCAGGCCUACUGCCAAACAGACGACUUCUCCCUCAAAGCACAGUCAUCUUCAGAAUGAGAGGCGGCCCAUCCUAUGGAACCGAGAGGCGUGGCUCUUAAAUUUGGGCUUCAAAAGACAAGCUCAGUCCCUGAUUUUUUCCACCUGAGAAGGAGGCUUUUCUGAACAUGACCCAGUGCGUUCAGAGCAGCCAGGAUGAGGAAACACAUCUACAAAGAAGCAGCUUAAUCCAAACACAAGAAAUGGUAUGCAAAAUAGGAUAUCAGACGUACUUUUGCAAUUGAACAUGGUCAAAACCAUUUUGCAGCAAGUAACUUUUCCUGAGUUCAAGUAAGAGUUUAGUCCAACAUUUAUAUGUGACACAGCCAUGUGAGGCCUCUUCUCUGAGUACAAAGUAAAGUCUGG